UACGUAGGGGGCAAGCGUUGUCCGGAAUCAUUGGGCGUAAAGCGCGCGUAGGCGGCCCGACUCAGUCCGCUGUAAAAAGUCCAGGGCUCAACCCUGGAAAGCCGGUGGAUACUGUCGGGCUAGAGUCCGGAAGAGGCGAGUGGAAUUCCUGGUGUAGCGGUGGAAUGCGCAGAUAUCAGGAGGAACACCGAUAGCGAAGGCAGCUCGCUGGGACGGUACUGACGCUGAGGUGCGAAAGCGUGGGGAGCGAACAGG
RNAcentral lists this ribosomal RNA (255 nucleotides) under uncultured bacterium. RNAcentral describes it as "partial 16S ribosomal RNA". It matches the Rfam family "Bacterial small subunit ribosomal RNA", at positions 524 to 776 of the family's 1533-position model. The record is from RNAcentral.